GACGAACGCUAGCGGCGUGCUUAACACAUGCAAGUCGAACGGUGAAGCUCCAGCUUGCUGGAGUGGAUCAGUGGCGAACGGGUGAGUAACACGUGAGCAACCUGCCCCUGACUCUGGAAUAAGCGCUGGAAACGGCGUCUAAUACUGGAUACGAGAAGGGUCCGCAUGGGCACUUUCUGGAAAGUUUUUCGGUUGGGGAUGGGCUCGCGGCCUAUCAGCUUGUUGGUGAGGUAAUGGCUCACCAAGGCGACGACGGGUAGCCGGCCUGAGAGGGCGACCGGCCACACUGGGACUGAGACACGGCCCAGACUCCUACGGGAGGCAGCAGUGGGGAAUAUUGCACAAUGGGCGAAAGCCUGAUGCAGCGACGCCGCGUGAGGGAUGACGGCCUUCGGGUUGUAAACCUCUUUCAGCAGGGAAGAAGCGAAAGUGACGGUACCUGCAGAAGAAGCACCGGCUAACUACGUG
RNAcentral lists this ribosomal RNA (468 nucleotides) under uncultured bacterium. RNAcentral describes it as "partial 16S ribosomal RNA". It matches the Rfam family "Bacterial small subunit ribosomal RNA", at positions 28 to 507 of the family's 1533-position model. The record is from RNAcentral.